Molecule: ribosomal RNA, 408 nt
Filed under: uncultured Eubacteriaceae bacterium
Lineage: Bacteria; Bacillati; Bacillota; Clostridia; Eubacteriales; Eubacteriaceae
Description: bacterial SSU rRNA
Rfam family: Bacterial small subunit ribosomal RNA
Source: RNAcentral
UGGGGAAUAUUGCGCAAUGGAGAGACACUCUGACGCAGCAAUACCGUGUGAGCGAGGAAGGUCUUCGGAUCGUAAAGCUCUGUACACGGGGAAGAAAAAAAUGACGGUACCCGUGGAGCAAGUCCCGGCUAACUACGUGCCAGCAGCCGCGGUAACACGUAGGGGACAAGCGUUGUCCGGAAUGACUGGGCGUAAAGGGCGCGCAGGCGGCCUUUUAAGCAGGAAGUGAAAGGCCCCGGCUCAACCGGGGAGGUGCUUUCUGAACUGGAAGGCUUGAGUAUUGGAGAGGCAGGCGGAAUUCCUGGUGUAGCGGUGAAAUGCGCAGAGAUCAGGAGGAACACCGGAGGCGAAGGCGGCCUGCUGGACAAAUACUGACGCUGAGGCGCGAAAGCGUGGGGAGCAAACAGG